GAAGGCCCAAACAAGUCGCCACUUGGGGGUUGAGGAAGCUCUGAUUAGCGCUAGAAUCAAUAAACACCUGGAUUGGUGUAGGACCAAUGAAUCCCUCAAGUCACAUAGCACGGCCCUGGGCACGUUUUGUGACGGAAAUGGUGUGAAGAACUAUAGGGUGCUCCGACUGUUCCACGACGGUGGUAGGUAGUGGAAUCUGGUCCUUGGGGACCUAAUUAAGAUCUGGACAAUCAUCAUUCACCAAUAACAUGAGAAUGUGAGAUUGUUUGCACCGAUGACCCAGAUGGUAUUGUUCAUCACAAAUGAAGCAGAGACCUUGCUCUCGACGGUUCCGUAUUUCCGUUUGGGUGAGCUGGAGAAUGGGUUUAGCAAGGUUGGAAUUAUUUGUGGUGGAAGGAGGUCGUGGUUGAAUUGGACGGGUAGAGGGGUUGAGUGAGGGGGAAAAUGGUGGUUUAGAGUAGUAGGUGGAUGAACGGGUGUUCCCGGAACGCACCACGGAUCGGCGUCCUUGUUUUUGCUUGAAGAUAUGAGCCAGUUCAAUGGCGCAUGCAAGGGAGGACGGGCUCAGAGCAACCACAUCAUCAUGUAGCUUGUCCUUGAGGCCCCCUAAGAACGCCCC
This 619-nucleotide long non-coding RNA is filed under the name Malus domestica (apple). RNAcentral's name for it is "long non-coding RNA (MDOM_LNC017106)". Lineage: Eukaryota; Viridiplantae; Streptophyta; Magnoliopsida; Rosales; Rosaceae. The record is from RNAcentral.